This 475-nucleotide ribosomal RNA is filed under the name Poeonoma serrata. RNAcentral's name for it is "partial 16S large subunit ribosomal RNA". Lineage: Eukaryota; Metazoa; Arthropoda; Insecta; Lepidoptera; Noctuidae. The record is from RNAcentral.
UGUCUUUUUGAGAAUAAUAUAAGGUCUAAUCUGCCCACUGAUUUAAAUUGAAGGGCUGCAGUAUAUUGACUGUACAAAGGUAGCAUAAUCAUUAGUCAUUUAAUUGAUGACUUGUAUGAAGGAUUGGAUGAAAUAUAAACUGUCUCUUUAUUAAUAAUAGAAUUUAAUUUUUUAAUUAAAAAGUUAAAAUAUUUUAAAAAGACGAGAAGACCCUAUAGAGUUUUAUAAAUAAAAUAAUUAAGAUUAUUUAAUUUAAUAAAAUUAAGAUUAUAUUAUUUAUUUUGUUGGGGUGACAGAAAAAUAUAUUUAACUUUUUUUUUAUUUAAAACAUUUAUAAGUGGUUAAAUGAUCCAAUAUUAUUGAUUAUAAGAAAAAAUUACCUUAGGGAUAACAGCGUAAUUUUUUUUUUUAGUUCAAAUAAGAAAAAGAGUUUGCGACCUCGAUGUUGGAUUAAGAUAAAAUUUAAAUGCAGAAG